RNAcentral lists this ribosomal RNA (483 nucleotides) under uncultured bacterium. RNAcentral describes it as "partial 16S ribosomal RNA". It matches the Rfam family "Bacterial small subunit ribosomal RNA", at positions 28 to 507 of the family's 1533-position model. The record is from RNAcentral.
GACGAACGCUGGCGGCGUGCUUAACACAUGCAAGUCGAACGCUGAAGCUCAGCUUUUGUUGGGUGGAUGAGUGGCGAACGGGUGAGUAACACGUGAGUAACCUGCCUCCUUCUUUGGGAUAACGCCCGGAAACGGGUGCUAAUACUGGAUAUUCACUGGUCUUCGCAUGGGGGUUGGUGGAAAGGGUUUUUCUGGUGGGGGAUGGGCUCGCGGCCUAUCAGCUUGUUGGUGGGGUGAUGGCCUACCAAGGCUUUGACGGGUAGCCGGCCUGAGAGGGUGACCGGUCACAUUGGGACGGAGAUACGGCCCAGACUCCUACGGGAGGCAGCAGUGGGGAAUAUUGCACAAUGGGCGCAAGCCUGAUGCAGCGACGCCGCGUGAGGGAUGGAGGCCUUCGGGUUGUGAACCUCUUUCGCUCAUGGUCAAGCCGCAACAAUGGUUGUGGUGAGGGUAGUGGGUAAAGAAGCGCCGGCUAACUACGUG